UGUGCUAGUCGGGGAGGUAGCGGUGCCCUGUAGUCUGCAAUCCGCUUUAGCAGAGAUUAUGUCCUUGACUAAGGCUUUAGUUUGUAAGGUCAGCCUAUGGGCUUUUGAUGUUGACGAUUGAGUCUUGCACAACGGGAACCUGUGAACCGUGUCAGAUCCGGAAGGAAGCAGCACUAAGCAGUCCCUCUCGUGUGUUGCAAGGUAGCUUGAUUUGAGUCAAAACCCGUAGUAACGCUUGGAAGCUACUGUCGAAGUCGGAUGCAC
RNAcentral lists this signal recognition particle RNA (264 nucleotides) under human gut metagenome. RNAcentral describes it as "Bacterial large signal recognition particle RNA". It matches the Rfam family "Bacterial large signal recognition particle RNA". Rfam says of the family: The signal recognition particle (SRP) is a universally conserved ribonucleoprotein involved in the co-translational targeting of proteins to membranes. Archaeal SRP consists of a 7S RNA and homologues of the eukaryotic SRP19 and SRP54 proteins. The record is from RNAcentral.